GUUCGGAUUGUAGUCUGCAACCCGACUACAUGAAGCUGGAAUCGCUAGUAAUCGCGGAUCAGAAUGCCGCGGUGAAUACGUUCCCGGGUCUUGUACACACCGCCCGUCACACCAUGGGAGUCGGAAAUGCCCGAAGUCUGUGACCCAACCGGAAGGAGGGAGCAGCCGAAGGCAGGUCGGAUGACUGGGGUGAAGUCGUAACAAGGUAUC
Molecule: ribosomal RNA, 210 nt
Filed under: uncultured bacterium
Lineage: Bacteria
Description: partial 16S ribosomal RNA
Rfam family: Bacterial small subunit ribosomal RNA
Source: RNAcentral